Molecule: ribosomal RNA, 424 nt
Filed under: uncultured archaeon
Lineage: Archaea
Description: bacterial SSU rRNA
Rfam family: Archaeal small subunit ribosomal RNA
Source: RNAcentral
UUCCGGUUGAUCCUGCCGGAGGCUACUGCUAUCGGAGUCCGAUUUAGCCAUGCUAGUCCACCGAUUCGUUCGGGGCGGAUAGCUGAGUAACACGUGGCCAACCUGCCCUGUGGAUGGAGAUAACCUCGGGAAACUGAGGCUAAUAUCCAUUAGCAGAGGAGUACUGGAAAGUCUCCUCUGUGAAAUGUUCCGACGCCACAGGAUGGGGCCGCGGCUGAUUAGGUCGUUGGUGAGGUAACGGCUCACCAAGCCAGUAAUCAGUAACAGCCGUGAGAGCGGGAGCUGUCAGUCGUGUUCUGAGACAAGAACACGGGCCCUACGGGGCGCAGCAGGCACGAAACCUUUACAAUGCACGCAAGUGCGAUAAGGGGACUCCGAGUGCGGUCUUCCCACAAGGAAGGCCGCUUUUCUGUACUGUAAGGAG